GACGAACGCUGGCGGCGUGCUUAACACAUGCAAGUCGAACGGAAAGGCCCUGCUUUUGUGGGGUGCUCGAUUGGCGAACGGGUGAGUAACACGUGAGUAAACUGCCCCUGACUUUGGGAUAACUUCAGGAAACUGGGGCUAAUACCGGAUAGGAGCUCCUGCUGCAUGGUGUGGGUUGGAAAGAUUCGGCGGUUGGGGCUGGACUCGCGGCUUAUCAGCUUGUUGGUGGGGUAGUGGCUUACCAAGGCUUCGACGGGUAGCCGGCCUGAGAGGGGGACCGGCCACAUUGGGACUGAGGUACGGCCCAGACGCGUACGGGAGGCAGCAGUGGGGAGUAUUGCACAAUGGGCGGAAGCCUGAUGCAGCAGCGCCGCGUGCGGAAUGACGGCCUUCGGGUUGUAAACCGCUUUCGCCUGUAACGAAGCGUGAGUGACGGUAAUGGGUAAGGAAGCACCGGCUAACUACGUG
This 468-nucleotide ribosomal RNA is filed under the name uncultured bacterium. RNAcentral's name for it is "partial 16S ribosomal RNA". It matches the Rfam family "Bacterial small subunit ribosomal RNA", at positions 28 to 507 of the family's 1533-position model. The record is from RNAcentral.